UUCCUCUUUAUAUCAAGAUAGUAUUCAAACAUAAACAAACCUCAAACAGCAAGAAAACGUUUUUCAAGACUUUCACUCGAUGAUUUUCGGUGAAUUUCACUCUUUUCCUGCGGAUUUGUUCCACUGUGACAAAGAUUAAAGACCCCUGCAAGUGACAAGAGACAAACUACCAACCUCUGACAUGGAGAAUUGUGAUGUUCCUCGUCAGCCUCAGGAUCCCAGUCAGACCAGGAGAGCCCUGCUCAUGCUGCAGGAGCGACCAGGAUUCAAAUCCCCGUCACUCAGCUCCUGCUGCCAGAAAGAAGAGGAAGCGGGCCUCCGUGGCACGCCCCUCUUCUUCAGAGCAUCUUGCAGAGCUGACCCGGGAUCCUGCUCCUCAGCACUCCACCCAUGAUGCUGUUGUUUCUCCUCCGGUCCAGAGGCCUCAGUCCAUGAUUCCACCAGCUGAGCUGACUUCGGUCUCCAAUGUGGUCCCCAGCACCCAGCCCUCCACAGCUCCUCCAGCCGACAGUCCACUGAUGAUCCAUGGUUAUACAGUGCCAGAGUACCAGCAGAUUUACCACUCUGUGGUAGAUGACAUGCUCAGGUACAAGGAUGGUCGUCUUCGUCCUUACAGUCUGGAUCUAGGACGACGCAUAAAGUAGAAGCUGUGGGAGCGCCUGAAUCAUCCUGCGUUCACUGAAACGGUAGAUGAAAAUGGACUUGUUAAUGUGAACGUCUCAUACGAAGUUGGAGUUAAUCCUCCUCUUUAUGAUGUGGAUGUCUCUGGUGAACCACAGCCCGAGACUCAACCUAGAAAGCGAGUUAAGACUUAAAGUCUUUACUUUAGCUGUUGAGUUUAGACCUGUAAAUAUUGUAGUUUUAAGUAUAGGACUUGUAAAUAUUGUAGUUUUGAGUAAAAGUUAAGAUAAGUAAAUGUUAUAGUAUGAGUUAAGAUAAGUGUUAUAGUAUGUUAUAGUAUGAGUUAAGAUAAGUGUUAUAGCAUGAGUUAACGUAAGUGUUAUAGUAUGUUAUAGUAUGAGUUAAGAUAAGUAUUGUAGUUGUAAGUUUCACAGAAAACCUCUCAGAAAAUCUCUUACAGCCAGACCAAAAAAAACUUACGAAAAACCAAAAAAAUUCCAAGGUACAAAGACAAGCCUCCACCGUAAGCCUCUAAAAAUGUUCCUGCCUCCUCCAUGUAAAAUCUGGAAACUAGACAGCCACCAAGCUAAACCUCCAUCCUGCCUCCAUCUUUAAAAAACACAUCUGCGACCUCAAACAUGUGCCAGCAGCUUUUUACCACCAAACUGCUGCACAUGGAAAAGAAAUAUGUCAACCUCCAUCUCCAGCCUUUGCAUUAAUCCAUCAGCCUCUACCUCCACCAUCAAAAUGUUAAAAACUGUUGCAUUCACUGUCUUCUACUCAAGCCUCUGCCUGCCACCUUAAGCGUGCAAUGACUGCUAAUAUCUCGCAGGUCUCCACCUGCCAAAUAUUAGCAGUCAUUGCUCUCAACUGUAACUUUUGAUGAAAAUCGUCAGCUUACACCUGAAAGUUGCAGCUGAUAGCUGCAGCCCAUGUCUCAAUCUCCAACCUUUGUCACUGUUCAGCAGUCCAGUCUCCACUCGUGGACUCUAGCAAAUUGAGCAAUUGACUCUACCUGCCUCCUCUGCUGACAACACUCAGCCGCCUCCACCUGCAGCCUGUCAGGGAAAAUAUGCCUAUGUCUCCACCUGGAUAAUAUCCGGAGGAAGACUUCAUCCUGAUUGUCCAACUCAAGCCUCUGCAAGCAACUACCUCCACCUGCAGUUGCAUCUCCAGCUCCACCUGUGCCAAUCGAAAAAAGGUGCCUACCAUUCAAGUUACGGCCAGUAAACUGGUGCUCUGGUGCAUUGACUCCACCUACCAACUCUGCCAGCACUCUGAAUCCAUUGCCUCCACCUGCAUCCUCUGCCAGAACAGAUCAACAGUUACCUUGACCAGCACAAAAUGAAAGACAGAUGCAUCGACUGCCUUCAAAUCAUGUACCGACCAGGGACCUGAAAAACCUCCUGUAAGCAACAAUCAUUCCUCCAUCUCUAACCUCUGCUGAACACCAACCACGGAGGUUGUUUCCAACUGUAGUCUCUGCUACUCAUCAGCAGCCAAUGCCAAAACCUGCAACUUCAAAAAGCAAACUGCUGACUCCUCUCGCCUCCUUCUUUCCCUGCUAGCUUCUGCCAUGAACUGCAGGUGCCUCCACUGCAGUUCAUGGCAGACAGCUGCAGCCCAACAUAAGCCACCAACUCAUCCAGAUUCUACUUCAAACUCCAGAUCUAACCAAUGUCUGCAGCUGCCACCCCACCUGAAGCAACUGCCAAAAAUCAGCAAUGUGUUGCUCCACCUCCAGCCUCUGCUUGAAACCACUGAUCAUCAACUCUUCCUGCUCCCUCUUUCAUGAAGCAAUGUCAGCCUCACAUCAGCCUGAGCAAUAUUAAAGGUAAGUUGCCUACACCAACAUCUGCAGCCUCUAACAGAAGACUUCAGCUUCAAGCUGCAACUGCUGACCCCACCUGCCACCUCUGCAGGAGUAGAAAUGUGUUCCAGCUUCUUCCAGUGCCUUUAACUGCAACCUUGAGCAGCCUUAUCUGCAGAUUGGCCAAGUGAGCUGCAGCUUGUGUUCAACACAGUGUGUCAGAUAAAUAAACCUGUACAUCUGUUAGCAACACAUAUAGAACAGCUAGGUUGUCUUCAAUGCUUUCGUUUCCAGCCACUGCCUGAAACCUGCAUCCACUUUUACCUUGAUUUUGUAUCCACAAACUACUGAAAACUACUUCAACAACAUUUAUAAUGUAUCAGCAUUGCCUGCACUUGCAGCCUUUUACAGCAAGUGUUGCCACCAAGGCCACUGCAGAGCCACCAGUCUUUGACCAAAGCCUCUUCACCUGUUUUUGGCUGACAGUCGAAAGAACAGGCUCAACCUGCACUCUCUUACAAACACCUGUUGCCAACGCUACAACUUGAAUCUGCUCCAGCAACAUAUUACAGCCUUUCCUUACAGAUUGUGUCUUAUAGCUGUAGCCUCCCUCCACCUGCAGCCUAUGCUUCUAUAUGCAUCACUACCUCCCACAGUGCCAUGUGAACAACAAUCACCUUCAGUGCCUUCUACACUGUCUCCACCUGCCAAAAAACAGUUGCAUCCACCUCCUGUUUGAGGCCAACAACUGCAGCCCCUACCUCAAACUCCAACCCCUGCCAGGCCUAACCCUCUCCCUACACCUACUGCAACAAAUCACAACCCACCACCUCCAACUCUGCCUGCUGCCUGUCCCAUCAUCUUCAGCUGCUGUCUCCAACUAAAGACUUCGCCUAAAACAUCUUUUGCCACCUCACUCAGCGUAAGUCUCUUAUAGGAACUUGCAAUUGCCUUCACCUACAGAUUGUGUUUACUAAAGCUGCUGUCCAUCCUUUCAACUCCAUCUUCUGCCAAACACCAACUAAUGUAACUUCUAACUGCAGCCACUGCCUCCACCUUCAACUUCACAAACUGCUCCUGACUCAUGAGCUUCCUCAAACUUGAGUGCACAAGACAGCUAUCUCCACCAGCCAAAAAAAUCAGCAGCUGACACCUUCAACUUCCUCUUCUGAUGGCACCCAUCACCCUUCAUUCUGACCUGUAAAUGGUGGAAACCUGCAUCCACCUACUGUUUGCAGCCAACCUAAAGCUGCCUCCUCUCGAAUCCUGUGCUUCCAAAUCUCUGCAACAAACCAGCAGCAAAGCCUCCCAUUACUUACGUCUCUUGUCUCUCUGUGUCAUUGAGCAGCACGUGGUCAGGAACAUUGGUUUGCUUUUCCACAUUACCUUUCUUUCUCCCCCCCUAACAGAGUUUGGUUUUCCCCAACUUGUGUUGAUUGUAGGCUUUUUUUCUUUUUGUUUUUUUAUGUCUUUUUUUUUCUUUUCUUUUUUUUUAGAUUUAUUUUAAUGUACCCCUUCAUGGGUCGCCACCUUAACCUGGUGGAGGGGUUUCAGUGCCCCAGUGAUCCUAGAGGCUAUGUUGUCGGGGGCAUUUGUCCCUGGUGGCCUGAGAUAACUGAUGGAGAAAUCCAAAUAUUAAACAUUGUUAAAAUAGCUAUGAAGGUGUUUCAAUAUUGUAACUGCAUUACUACAAUCAGUGUUACCAUCAUGAAGCAAUGCGUGAACACUCAUCUUGGAUUAAGAGCCAAAUGUGCACAAUUUUCUUUGGUAUACUUUCUAUGGUGAUUGUAACAUGUUUUGGUUUUAGUUGGCAAUUUUUUAAAGUUGGUUUCUUUUUGUGGAGUUUCUCUCAUCCUCACAGAGAUUGGGCGGCUCCUUUCUGCACCUGAUCACUGUAAUCACCACCACCAUUUAAGCCCUGCUGUGAGGCUUCUCUAAUGCCAGAUUAUUACUCCAUCAGAUAGUACCUCCACGAGCCCCAGUGCUACCGCCCAAUCACUGCCACGCUGCCAUACUCUCUCCCCAGACUUCAGACCAGCCUCCUCCUCAAUCCCACCUCUGAUUUCCCUCCUCAUGCCUUGGACCCUGGAUCCCUUCCCUCCUUGCUCCCUUCAAUAAAUUCACUGAACUGCU
Molecule: long non-coding RNA, 4564 nt
Organism: Notolabrus celidotus (New Zealand spotty)
Lineage: Eukaryota; Metazoa; Chordata; Actinopteri; Labriformes; Labridae
Exons: 5
Source: RefSeq, a predicted model, not a curated record